RNAcentral lists this ribosomal RNA (497 nucleotides) under uncultured bacterium. RNAcentral's name for it is "partial 16S ribosomal RNA". It matches the Rfam family "Bacterial small subunit ribosomal RNA", at positions 28 to 507 of the family's 1533-position model. The record is from RNAcentral.
GACGAACGCUGGCGGCGUGCCUAAUACAUGCAAGUCGAGCGAUGACGCUUGGUGCUUGCACCCAUUUGAAGAGCAGCGAACGGGUGAGUAACGCGUGGGGAAUCUGCCUUUGAGCGGGGGACAACAUCUGGAGACGAAUGCUACUACCACAUAACAACUUUAAACAUAAGAUUUAAGUUUGAAAGAUGCAAUUGCAUCACUCAAAGAUGAUCCCGCGUUGUAUUAGCUAGUUGGUGAGGUAAAGGCCCACCAAGGCGAAGAUACAUAGCCGAGCUGAGAGGGAGAUCGGCCACAAUGGGAAUGGGACACGGCCCAAACUCCUUCGGGAGGGAGCAGGAGGGGAUCUUCGGCCAUGGGCGACAGUCUGACCGCACACAGCCGGGGGGGUGGAGAAGGUUUUCGGGGUGGAAAAGUCUGUUUGUAGGGAAGAACGUUGGGGAGGGUAGAAAGCUCAUCAAGUGACGGUAACUAACCAGAAAGCAACGGCUAACUACGUG